Molecule: ribosomal RNA, 402 nt
Filed under: Verrucomicrobiota bacterium
Lineage: Bacteria; Pseudomonadati; Verrucomicrobiota
Description: Verrucomicrobia bacterium partial 16S ribosomal RNA
Rfam family: Bacterial small subunit ribosomal RNA
Source: RNAcentral
UGGGGAAUUUUGCACAAUGGGGGAAACCCUGAUGCAGCGACGCCGCGUGAUUUACAAGGCCUUCGGGUUGUAAAAAUCUUUUCUAUGGGAAGAAAAUGACAGUACCAUAGGAAUAAGGUCCGGCUAAAUACGUGCCAGCAGCCGCGGUAAUACGUAUGGACCGAGCGUUGUCCGGAAUCAUUGGGCGUAAAGGGUACGUAGGCGGCCCAGUAAGUUAGAAGUGAAAUAAUAUAGCUCAACUAUAUAAAGCUUUUAAAACUGCUAGGCUUGAGAGAUGGAAGGGAAAGUGGAAUUCCUAGUGUAGCGAUGAAAUGCGCAGAUAUUAGGAAGAAUACCGGUGGCGAAGGCGACUUUCUGGUCAUCAUCUGACGCUGAGGUACGAAAGCGUGGGUAGCAAACAGG